CGGAAACAGAGCCAGAGGAAGAAGACGGAAGAUGCAAGAAGAAACCUGCUGCAGUUGCAGGCCACUGACUCUUUCCAUUUCAUCGACGGUAGCUGUCAUGUCUGAGUCAUGAUCGGACGGUCCACACUGGCCGUUUCUUGUUUGUCCGUGAUGAACGGCGAAAUUACAAAAAAGUCCGUUAUUUUUGUGGUUUUUUUUUCCUUUGCCGCGGUUUUUUUCUUCCGUUACGUGUGGGUCCGGUUCAAACUAUCAACGCCGUCGGCGGAGGAGAGUAGAGUGGGCGCGCACUAAGCUAAUCUUGGUCUUGUAUUCAUCCGAAACUCGAAUUUCCAUAAUGACGAAACUGCCCUCCAUUUCAUUGCAUGACCGUUGUUAUUUUACUCUAUUUCUCUGUCAUACGAUAGUGUUAUGUCAAUUUGAUG
Momordica charantia (bitter melon) is the source of this 422-nucleotide long non-coding RNA. RefSeq lists it as uncharacterized. The record is from RefSeq and is a predicted model, not a curated record. Lineage: Eukaryota; Viridiplantae; Streptophyta; Magnoliopsida; Cucurbitales; Cucurbitaceae.